Molecule: non-coding RNA, 705 nt
Organism: Danio rerio (zebrafish)
Lineage: Eukaryota; Metazoa; Chordata; Actinopteri; Cypriniformes; Danionidae
Source: RefSeq, a predicted model, not a curated record
AAAAACGCUGGGUUGGUUUUUUAACCCAAAUGCUGGGUUGAGACUGCUGGGUAACAAAAUUGGGUUGAUUCAACCCAAUUUGGGUUGAAAAUCGAUCUUUAUCUAUAACCCAGCAGUGCUGGGUUGGGAACGCGGACGUGAAAGAGAGCACGCACGUCACGUCAACAUGCAGGGACAUCAACGUGAGAAACCGCCAUUUUCUUUGCACUGUCUUUGAGGGGAAGCGAGUGAAAUUCUGUGUGAGACGUAAGUUAUUUAGUGUGUAUUUAACAAUUUUCAUAAGAAAUAACACACUUAGUUUACUUAGUAUAAUAUACACGCGCUUUUUUUUCUGUUUCUCCGCCUGACGGCCGACUUGUUGCUCCGCCUCACACUGACCUGCUGCUCCACUUCACCGCCGACCUGUGCUCGCCUUAUGGCCGAACUGUUGCUCCGAGUCCGCCUGACGAGCGACCUGUUUCUCCGGACCUGUUUCUCCGCCUAACGGCGACCUGUUUCUCCGGACCUGUUUCUCCGCCUAACGGCGACCUGUUGCUCCGCCUAACGCCCGAGCUGUUGCUCCGCCUAACGCCUGACCUGUGCUCGCCUCACGCCCGACCUGCUGCUCCGCCUCACGCCCAGCCUGUUGAUCGGUGGACGGGAAAGCGCGCAUGGCAUCGGAAGGAGCUCGAAAAGUAUAAGGUGAUGACAAUGGAUAAUUGCGUG